This is a long non-coding RNA of Melanotaenia boesemani (Boeseman's rainbowfish), 534 nucleotides long. RefSeq lists it as uncharacterized. The transcript is spliced from 5 exons. NCBI's taxonomy places the organism in Eukaryota, Metazoa, Chordata, Actinopteri, Atheriniformes, Melanotaeniidae. The record is from RefSeq and is a predicted model, not a curated record.
GUGCACACCUAAAAGUUGGCAAGGUGAUGGAGAAACUGGUUGAACUGACUGAAGCUGUGGAGAACAGAUUGGCUGCAGGAGCAGUAACAUCAGCGACUCUGCAGCAGAUUCCUACAACCCAUCUCAUGAGGUAAAAAGGAUCCACAGGAGUCUGGAGGAUGGGCACAAAUACAGAGGAAAUGAGAGAUUCAUGUCUGAGCACAACUCCGGUGGCACAAAUUCAAUGUUGUGGUCAAUUGCAGAUGAAGAGGAAUGUGACACCUCUUUGAUCAGAAGAGCAACAGAUACUUUGAGAACAUCAGGAGGGAAUCUAAGUUGUCAGAAGACAAAGUGGAAGAGGAUCGGAGGGCCAAAGCUCUCAACAACCGAAGACAUAGACUUUUCAAUUCACGCCGAUCUGCUGCUCGCUCAUCUUAACCAAUGAGGAGUACAGAUACCUGGAACGGGUGCCUGCAUGCAUGAUGAGCGACGAGGAGACGGACCCUGAAGACAAAGACGUGUGGAAAGCACAUCCACCUGAAUGGAGGGCAACAA